GCCCGGGUGGUGGAAUAGGUAGACACAAGGGACUUAAAAUCCCUCGGAUUUAUAAUCCGUGCCGGUUCGAUUCCGGCUCCGGGCACCA
RNAcentral lists this transfer RNA (88 nucleotides) under Deltaproteobacteria bacterium. Its description in RNAcentral is "tRNA-Leu". It matches the Rfam family "tRNA". From Rfam's summary of the family: Transfer RNA (tRNA) molecules are approximately 80 nucleotides in length. Their secondary structure includes four short double-helical elements and three loops (D, anti-codon, and T loops). The record is from RNAcentral. Lineage: Bacteria; Pseudomonadati; Myxococcota; Myxococcia.